UACGGGAGGCAGCAGUGGGGAAUAUUGCACAAUGGGCGCAAGCCUGAUGCAGCCAUGCCGCGUGUAUGAAGAAGGCCUUCGGGUUGUAAAGUACUUUCAGUCGUGAGGAAGGUGUUAAGGUUAAUAACCUUAGCAAUUGACGUUAGCGACAGAAGAAGCACCGGCUAACUCCGUGCCAGCAGCCGCGGUAAUACGGAGGGUGCGAGCGUUAAUCGGAAUUACUGGGCGUAAAGGGCACGCAGGCGGUUAAUUAAGUUGGAUGUGAAAUCCCCGGGCUUAACCUGGGAAUGGCAUUCAAGACUGGUUAGCUAGAGUCUUGUAGAGGGGGUAGAAUUCCAUGUGUAGCGGUGAAAUGCGUAGAGAUGUGGAGGAAUACCGGUGGCGAAGGCGGCCCCUGGACAAAGACUGACGCUCGAUGUGCGAAAGCGUGGGGAGCGAAACAGGGAUUAGAU
RNAcentral lists this ribosomal RNA (452 nucleotides) under uncultured bacterium. RNAcentral describes it as "bacterial SSU rRNA". It matches the Rfam family "Bacterial small subunit ribosomal RNA", at positions 340 to 783 of the family's 1533-position model. The record is from RNAcentral.